This 207-nucleotide ribosomal RNA is filed under the name uncultured Rhodospirillaceae bacterium. RNAcentral describes it as "partial 16S ribosomal RNA". It matches the Rfam family "Bacterial small subunit ribosomal RNA", at positions 568 to 774 of the family's 1533-position model. The record is from RNAcentral. Lineage: Bacteria; Pseudomonadati; Pseudomonadota; Alphaproteobacteria; Rhodospirillales; Rhodospirillaceae.
CACGCAGGCGGCCCGUUAAAUUAGAAGUGAAAGCCCUGGGCUCAACCCGGGAAUUGCUUUUAAGACUGGCGGGCUUGAAUCCGUGAGAGGGUAGGGGAAUUCCGAGUUUAGAGGUGAAAUUCGUAGAUAUUCGGAAGAACACCAGUGGCGAAGGCGCCUACCUGGCACGGCAUUGACGCUCAUGUGCGAAAGCGUGGGGAGCAAACA